AGGGCACCACCAGGAGUGGAGCCUGCGGCUUAAUUUGACUCAACACGGGAAACCUCACCCGGCCCGGACACGGACAGGAUUGACAGAUCGAUAGCUCUUUCUCGAUUCCGUGGGUGGUGGUGCAUGGCCGUUCUUAGUUGGUGGAGCGAUUUGUCUGGUUAAUUCCGAUAACGAACGAGACUCUGGCAUGCUAACUAGUUACGCGACCCCCCGAGCGGUCGGCGUCCCCCAACUUCUUAGAGGGACAAGUGGCGUUCAGCCACCCGAGAUUGAGCAAUAACAGGUCUGUGAUGCCCUUAGAUGUCCGGGGCUGCACGCGCGCUACACUGACUGGCUCGGCGUGUGCCUACCCUACGCCGGCAGGCGCGGGUAACCCGUUGAACCCCAUUCGUGAUGGGGAUCGGGGAUUGCAAUUAUUCCCCAUGAACGAGGAAUUCCCAGUAAGUGCGGGUCAUAAGCUUGCGUUGAUUAAGUCCCUGCGGUUUGGACACACCGCCCGUCGCCACUACCGAGUUGGAU
This 519-nucleotide ribosomal RNA is filed under the name uncultured eukaryote. Its description in RNAcentral is "SSU rRNA". It matches the Rfam family "Eukaryotic small subunit ribosomal RNA", at positions 1161 to 1695 of the family's 1831-position model. The record is from RNAcentral.